UCCCGCCCCGGGUCACCUUGAUCGGCCAAUUCAAAUUUCCUCCAAAUACCACGCGGGAGGCGGCAGCAACCGAAACUCUAAACUGCCUCCGGUCCCUACCAGCAGGCGGGGGUUUCUUCCCUCCUUGGCUCGGCCGAGAAACUCAUAUUUUAUUCAUGAAAAUCUGAGGCCCUGGGAGGCCUCGGCCUAAACAGGAUGUAAAUAUUUGCGGGCGGUGGGGGAGAGGUGGUUUUUGAGCUGGGGCUGUCCUAAGCAGGGGACCUCCGGACGCCGCUUACUCGGGCCCGCCCACCUCCAUCCCCUCUAUAGGGUGGGUGUGGGGGGCAUGUGCAGGCUGUACCCCUGACUGGGGCCCGGGUUUGGGACUCCAGUGCCCUCCGAGGGAGUCCCCUAACCUUCUGAUCACCCCCCCCCCCGCCCCGCCCCAUUCUCUUAAUCCACAGGGUUCCUCCAUCCGCCUUGCUGAGACUUAGCACUGGCUUCCUGGCGCUUGCGAGGCGCGUGGCCAGCUCCCCAGCCUCACCUGCCCUUCCUGCACCUGGACACCCUUUGUCUCGGCUGCGCGGAGUUCCCGCCAUCCCCAGGCUGUACAGAAUCUUGCAGGGUAUCGAGGAUUUCCGAAGUUAUACCCUGCACCCCACAACCUCUGGCAAGAU
Molecule: long non-coding RNA, 656 nt
Filed under: Canis lupus familiaris (dog)
Lineage: Eukaryota; Metazoa; Chordata; Mammalia; Carnivora; Canidae
Description: lncRNA (ENSCAFG00000054826.1)
Source: RNAcentral